UACGAAGGGGGCUAGCGUUGCUCGGAAUCACUGGGCGUAAAGCGCACGUAGGCGGUCUCUUAAGUCGGUGGUGAAAUCCUGGAGCUCAACUCCAGAACUGCCUUCGAUACUGAGAGUCUUGAGUCCGGGAGAGGUGAGUGGAACUGCGAGUGUAGAGGUGAAAUUCGUAGAUAUUCGCAAGAACACCAGUGGCGAAGGCGGCUCACUGGCCCGGUACUGACGCUGAGGUGCGAAAGCGUGGGGAGCAAACAGG
Molecule: ribosomal RNA, 253 nt
Filed under: uncultured bacterium
Lineage: Bacteria
Description: partial 16S ribosomal RNA
Rfam family: Bacterial small subunit ribosomal RNA
Source: RNAcentral